CCUGAAGGAGCAAUUUGAGGCCUAGGAGUUAGAGGUGGAAGGAGAGAUUCUUGAGUUUAAAUACUUUCCUUGAGAACAUAUUUACUUAAGACCUCUCGCCUCCAUUCCGUUCCGUGCAAGUGGCAGGCCCCUAAAACAAUGAAGGCUCGCUCUACCUGCCAUUCUGGUUUCGUUUCCGACCCAGAAGGACAUCAGUGUGACUGUUCAGCAGCCUUCUACGUGGAAUCCAUAUUAUUCAUUAUAGCGACAUUACCCUUUGUUCCGAGGUUUUUCUCCAUAAUUUUUUAGCUUACCUAGGAAGACCUUAAAAAGGAAGUUUAAUUCUUUGAAGACCAAAGCUCGCCAAUUUUUUCCAUGAGACCAGUUCACAGCUAGCUCUGUGCUGUCAGUGGGGUAGCCCAAAUUCCAAAAUCUAUCAUCUGGAAACAUACAAAAGCUCUCACACAGAUCUCCCCCCACCCCUUUCAAAGGAGGAAAAAAAAAAAACCCCACCACACUCUAAAUUGUAAAUCUAUUAUGUCCAUCUAGAUCUAAUAAGAUGUGGGGAGAUAAAACUAUAAGCUUUGUACUGUAAUCAUGGCAGGUCACCACCCUGCAGG
RNAcentral lists this long non-coding RNA (599 nucleotides) under Bos taurus (domestic cattle). RNAcentral describes it as "long non-coding RNA NONBTAT004801". Lineage: Eukaryota; Metazoa; Chordata; Mammalia; Artiodactyla; Bovidae. The record is from RNAcentral.